RNAcentral lists this ribosomal RNA (422 nucleotides) under uncultured bacterium. RNAcentral describes it as "bacterial SSU rRNA". It matches the Rfam family "Bacterial small subunit ribosomal RNA", at positions 355 to 774 of the family's 1533-position model. The record is from RNAcentral.
UGAGGAAUAUUGGUCAAUGGACGGAAGUCUGAACCAGCCAUGCCGCGUGAAGGAUGAAGGCGUUCUGCGUUGUAAACUUCUUUUAUCUGGGAAGAAACCACAGAUUUCUAUUUGUGUUGACGGUACCAGAAGAAUAAGCACCGGCUAACUCCGUGCCAGCAGCCGCGGUAAUACGGAGGGUGCGAGCGUUAUCCGGAUUUACUGGGUUUAAAGGGUGCGUAGGCGGGCUAUUAAGUCAGAGGUGAAAUCUCCGGGCUCAACCUGGAAACUGCCUUUGAUAAUAUUAGCCUUGAAUUAUGUUGAGGUCGGCGGAAUAUACCAUGUAGCGGUGAAAUGCGUAGAUAUGUUAUGGAACACCGAUUGCGAAGGCAGCUGGCUAAACAUAUAUCGACGCUGAUGCACGAAAGCGUGGGUGGCGAACA